CCUACGGGAGGCAGCAGUAGGGAAUCUUCCGCAAUGGACGAAAGUCUGACGGAGCAACGCCGCGUGAGCGAAGAAGGUCUUCGGAUCGUAAAGCUCUGUUGUUAGGGAAGAACAAGUACGGGAGGAAAUGACCGUACCUUGACGGUACCUGACGAGGAAGCCACGGCUAACUACGUGCCAGCAGCCGCGGUAAUACGGAGGUGGCAAGCGUUGUACGGAAUUAUUGGGCGUAAAGCGCGCGCAGGCGGUCUUUUAAGUCUGAUGUGAAAUCUUGCGGCUCAACCGCAAGCGGUCAUUGGAAACUGGGAGACGUGAGUGCAGAAGAGGAAAGCGGAAUUCCACGUGUAGCGGUGAAAUGCGUAGAUAUUAGGAGGAACACCAGUGGCGAAGGCGGCUCUCUGGACUGCAACUGACGCUGAGGCACGAAAACGUGGGGAGCGAACGGGAUUAGAUACCCUAGUAGUC
This 465-nucleotide ribosomal RNA is filed under the name uncultured bacterium. Its description in RNAcentral is "bacterial SSU rRNA". It matches the Rfam family "Bacterial small subunit ribosomal RNA", at positions 338 to 795 of the family's 1533-position model. The record is from RNAcentral.